This 377-nucleotide ribosomal RNA is filed under the name uncultured bacterium. RNAcentral describes it as "bacterial SSU rRNA". It matches the Rfam family "Bacterial small subunit ribosomal RNA", at positions 523 to 898 of the family's 1533-position model. The record is from RNAcentral.
AAACGUAGGAGGCUAGCGUUAUCCGGAUUUAUUGGGCGUAAAGCGCGUGCAGGCGGUCUAGCAAGUUGGAUGUGAAAGCUCCUGGCUUAACUGGGAGAGGUCGUUCAAUACUGUUAGACUAGAGAAUGGGAGAGGGAGGUGGAAUUCCGGGUGUAGUGGUGAAAUGCGUAGAUAUCCGGAGGAACACCAGUGGCGAAAGCGGCCUCCUGGACCACUUCUGACGCUAAGACGCGAAAGCUAGGGUAGCAAACGGGAUUAGAGACCCCGGUAGUCCUAGCCGUAAACGAUGUAGACUUGGCGUUGGCGGAGUUAAAUCUGCCAGUGCCGUAGCUAACGCGAUAAGUCUACCGCCUGGGGACUACGACCGCAAGGUUAAA